This is a non-coding RNA of Beta vulgaris subsp. vulgaris (sugar beet), 84 nucleotides long. NCBI's taxonomy places the organism in Eukaryota, Viridiplantae, Streptophyta, Magnoliopsida, Caryophyllales, Amaranthaceae. The record is from Rfam.
GCAUUUGUGGCCGAGCGGUCUAAGGCGUCCGACUCAAGUUCGGAUCCUCGUCAGAGGGCGUGGGUUCAAAUCCCAUCGAAUGCA